This is a transfer RNA of Hirsutella minnesotensis 3608, 87 nucleotides long. It matches the Rfam family "tRNA". From Rfam's summary of the family: Transfer RNA (tRNA) molecules are approximately 80 nucleotides in length. Their secondary structure includes four short double-helical elements and three loops (D, anti-codon, and T loops). Lineage: Eukaryota; Fungi; Ascomycota; Sordariomycetes; Hypocreales; Ophiocordycipitaceae. The record is from Rfam.
GCCCGGUUAGCUCAAUCGGUAGAGCGUGAGACUCUUACGAGAGUACACGAAAUCUCAAGGUUGCGGGUUCGACCCCCGCAUCGGGCU